This 78-nucleotide transfer RNA is filed under the name Patescibacteria group bacterium. RNAcentral's name for it is "tRNA-Met". It matches the Rfam family "tRNA". From Rfam's summary of the family: Transfer RNA (tRNA) molecules are approximately 80 nucleotides in length. Their secondary structure includes four short double-helical elements and three loops (D, anti-codon, and T loops). Further hydrogen bonds mediate the characteristic L-shaped molecular structure. tRNAs have two regions of fundamental functional importance: the anti-codon, which is responsible for specific mRNA codon recognition, and the 3' end, to which the tRNAs corresponding amino acid is attached (by aminoacyl-tRNA synthetases). tRNAs cope with the degeneracy of the genetic code in two manners: having more than one tRNA (with a specific anti-codon) for a particular amino acid; and 'wobble' base-pairing, i.e. permitting non-standard base-pairing at the 3rd anti-codon position. The record is from RNAcentral.
CGUGCCGGUAGCUCAGCUUGGUAGAGCAGUUCCUUCAUCAGGAACAUGUCGUUGGUUCAAAUCCAGCCCGGCCAACCA